RNAcentral lists this long non-coding RNA (2386 nucleotides) under Calidris pugnax (ruff). RNAcentral's name for it is "lncRNA (ENSCPUG00000015209.1)". Lineage: Eukaryota; Metazoa; Chordata; Aves; Charadriiformes; Scolopacidae. The record is from RNAcentral.
ACAUAGAUGUCCCAGCAGUCGUGGGAUCCUCUCACCCCCCAUCUCCUGCCUGGAGCUGGCUCCCUGGGGGUUUUCCUCUGUGUCCCCCCCUCACCAGAGCCUGGCCCGUGGUGGGUGAUCCCCAUGGGACACAUGGAGCUGGGGGGUGGCAGAGCCUCCCAGGGUGAAGACUUUUCUCCUGAGCAGGUUCGCAAAAUGUCUGUCUCAGUGAGACAGGAGAAUGAGUCACCCCCAGGACACCCCCUCCAUGGCAUCUCACACUGACCUGCUUUUCUCUCAGCCCAUUUUCUACACCAAACCCAUGUUCUGCUCUGCCUCUUCACGCUGCUUUUAGUGAUGACCUGUGUGUUGCUGGGAGCAGCUCUUCUUCCUCCUCCUCCUCCUCAGGACGAAGCAUCCAGGCAGCAGCCUUCUCCCUCCCCAUCUUCCCCGUCUGCCUGGGGCUGUUCUAGCUCUGUUUGUGUGAGUCUGGACCAAAUGACUCAGUUCCUUCCUGAAACCCCACCUCAAAAACCCCUUUUGCUCUAGUAGAUCAAGGUUUUCAUCAGUGGCAAAAACCUGAGGAGCAUCACUGGGGCUACCAGGGGUGACAGGGAGAGUGACCACAUUGGUCUGGGGCAGCUGUGAAAGGCCUGGUUGUGUUUUCUGUGAAUAGCAGGAGAAUAAUGUCCUUGUGGAGGAAUAAAGCCUUUCAAAUUAGGUUUUUAAAAGGAGCAAUUGAAAUCCUUGAGAAGCUGGAGAUACUGUUGGUGGUAGAGGACAGAUGUGGUUAACGGAUUCUUAGAGAAGCUUGCCUGUGCCCUGACUGACCCAGGAGCAAAUCACCCUGUGCAGAUGAAUAAUGGCUGUUUUGAUAAAGAAGAUACACGGCAGCUCUUUUUCUUAACCCGGACACCCUUCCUGUCCCUCCUCCUCCUCUUCUUCAGCUUCUUCCCUGGGGAGUUUCUGGCAGGAAGGCCACUCCAGAUCACGUCACCGCGUGAGCCCACGGAGCGUGGCUGGCCCAGCAGCAGGACAAGCGCCGUUGCCUCUGCCUGUGCCCCCCAGACUCCUCCCCACACACUCAGGCCCCCUUUCCCGGGCUGUCUCUGUCCUCACGUCCCUUCUGUCUGGGCCGAGGGCUGGCUCUGCUCGUUGGGGCUGGCAGUGGUGGCCUUGAGGUGGAAUCCAGAGGGAUUUGCCCCACCUGGCUCAGGAGGAGGGGAUGAGGAGGUGCCCCCUCCCCAAGCAGAGAGACGGGGUGUCUUCACUGCCGCCGGACACAGGAAACACGUUUUUGCUUCCUUCAGGCCGAUGGCAGCUUCCCUGGAGUCAGACAUUGGCUUUUCUGCGGAUUUAUGGAGAGGGGAACAGAUGUGUAAUGUCUAUCCUGUAAAUGCUGGGUGACUUCCGUCCUGCCCCGCGCGGGAUCCCUGCAGCAGCCCCCGCUCAGCCCCAGACCCAAGGCAAGAGCCCCCCUCACCCUCCUCCCUCCCCAACUCCCCUUCUUUUGGGUUUUCUUUUAACUUUCCUGAAGGUGGGAGGAGGAUUUUUCCCACAGUUCAGCCUCAGGCACUGCCUGGAGUGAGGAAACCCAGUCAUCCUGAGAGCUUCCAGCGGCCGGCUGCUGGCGGGGAGGGAAUCUGGGGACCACCAGCCUGGCCAGGGGGCAGGCACUGCUCUCCUGGCACCCUGACUCUGCCUGGGGGGUCCCUUAGUGCCAUGUUGGAUGGUUUCUGUGUUCCCCUGGGGCGCAGCAGGGCCAGGCACCAGCUACGGCUCCCUGAGGUGCUGUUUAUAUGUGUCUGUAUCUUUAUUAUGUACUUACAUGUAAUAUGUAAACAGAUAAGUCUCUUUUUACAAGUUUAUAAAAUUGAAAUUAAAAGCUCGUACCCUAUCAAGCUGGGGCCUGAAGCUGGGCUAGAGGUGCGGGAGUUGGGGGGAGCACAGGGGUGCAGUGGGAUGGGAGAUGGGGAGCCGCUGAGAGGAUUAGCGCUGGGGGAAAGAGGAGGGGAGAAGAGGAAGGUGGGUGCAUUGUAUUGGGAGAAGCUGGUGAGAUGCCGUCACGGAGAGGGUGGAAGAAGAGGAAGAGGGGGCAGAUUGGAGAAGCAACAAAGCCAUGAGUGAGUGAGGUUUGGCUGGAGGAGCCUUGGUGGGAGCCAGAGGAGCGAGAAGGGAAGCCGCAGAGGAGGAAAUGAGCCUGGGUGGAGGAGACGUGCUGCAGGCACUGGGAGGAAAGCUGGGAUGGAGGAAGACCACUGGUGGUCAUCAGAGGGGAGACUAAAAGAGCCGGAGACCCUGGGAGCAUGAGGGGGCUGGAGGCAGCAAGCCCAGCUUUGCCAGUCACCGGGGUGUUCCGGGCAGGUUACAGAGAAAAGCCCCCACUUUCGGUGGUCUCCAAAACUCC